This 253-nucleotide ribosomal RNA is filed under the name uncultured bacterium. RNAcentral's name for it is "partial 16S ribosomal RNA". It matches the Rfam family "Bacterial small subunit ribosomal RNA", at positions 524 to 776 of the family's 1533-position model. The record is from RNAcentral.
GACAGAGGGUGCAAACGUUGUUCGGAAUUACUGGGCGUAAAGCGCGUGUAGGCGGCUAAGUAAGUCGGGCGUGAAAUCCCACGGCGCAACCGUGGAAGUGCACUCGAAACUGCAUAGCUAGAGUCCUGGAGAGGAAGGUGGAAUGCUUGGUGUAGAGGUGAAAUUCGUAGAUAUCAAGCGGAACACCGGUGGCGAAGGCGGCCUUCUGGACAGUGACUGACGCUGAGACGCGAAAGCGUGGGGAGCAAACAGG